Monodelphis domestica (gray short-tailed opossum) is the source of this 3522-nucleotide long non-coding RNA. RefSeq lists it as uncharacterized. The record is from RefSeq and is a predicted model, not a curated record. Lineage: Eukaryota; Metazoa; Chordata; Mammalia; Didelphimorphia; Didelphidae.
GACAAGCCAAGAAAGAUCCUUAAAGGACACCCUUGAUGUCCAGCAUUAAAAUAAAGCAAAUUUUGAGAUUGAAAUCCUGGGAUAACAUUGACAACUGGAAUAGAAUAGCAUAUGUGAUCUUUACCAUCAGAUGUUGGGCAUUCUAUGGAUCCUCAGUUCUGUAUGUUAAUUCCCAGAGAAGUACCAUCUGAACAACCAAGUCAGAAUGGUAAGUGUUCAGUGUAGGCUUCCUCUCUCUUUCUCUGUCUCUCUCUGUCUCUCUGUCUCUGUCUCUGUCUCUCUCUGUCUCUCUGUCUCUGUCUCUGUCUCUCUCUCUCUCUGUCUCUCUCUUUCUCAGUGUUUGUGUGCACUCUAUUCUAGCACUGUGCCCCUUUUUUGCCUUAUAAGUGUGGUACAAUUUGAAAGAAUUCCAAAGUGCAGCCUUGAGGGACAAUAUGGAUGUGCAGGCUCAUAGAAAAGAGAGAUUUGGAAUUAUAAAGGGUGGAGGUGAGGGGUAACCAUGGCAAACUGGAUAUAACAGAACCUUGAGCUUUCAAGGGGAGGGUAGAUGUUGGGCAUUCAAGAGUCUCAGUCAGCUCUGUAUCUUAACUUAUAUAGUCUUAUAAUUAAUAUUUCUAUCCCAGCUUUGUGGACUGUUGCCUUGUGUGUGUGCACAUUUGUGUACAAAUUCCUGAUUUCUCACCUUGCCCUUUGUUUUUUUUCAUGAGUAAGUCUUGCGAUAACCAGCAAAUCAAAGACAAAGCCUUGACAUGGUGAUUCUUGGUGACUAGAAUCAAAAUAACAUGAUAUUUGGGAUCACAGCAGAAGGCGAGAUGUAGCCUUAGCAACUGGACAUGACAUUAUCUUGGACGUUCAAGGUUAAUGCUUAGAGAAGCAGAGAAUCAGCAUCUGAACAACAACCAACUCAAGAAUGGUAUUGAGACAACCAGCAAAACAAACACAAAGCCUUGACAUGGUGCUUCUUGAUGACGAGAAUCAAAAUAAAGUGAUAUUUGGGAUCACAAGGAAGGCGAGAUGUAGCCUUAGCAACUGGACAUGACAUUAUCUUGGACUUUCAAGGCUACCCGGCUUACAUGACAAUGGAUCUCUGGUGUCUCUCCAGUUACCCUAGCUUCCAGCUUGCUGCCAUGCCUCUGGGAACUUCAAGGAAUCCCGUGGUGAAAUGAAAAUCGAAUAAUUAAGGACUCAGAAAUAAUCUAGGAACUAUUUUCAGAGGCUGCAGCAUAUAACAAUGAGGAACUCUACAGAAGAUCAGGAAUAAAAGGUAUCAUUAAGGAAACCCAAGAGGAGAAGGAGACAGGCUGACCACCUGGAGAAGGUUGGUGGGGGAGUGAUGGGACACAUUGGGAAUCCUCUGCUGGGAUUGCCUCAGUGGGAGGAGAAAAUGAAGAAAACAUCUAGCACAUUGAGAACCCCAAGGGUAUACUAGAGCCUGCCUCAGCCACCUUGGGACAGAUUUUUCAGUGAGAACAUUUACACCUCUGAAGUCAGCAAAAUUGAGGCUUCAUGUUCUGUUGACUUAUACUUUAAAAGUGUUAAUUGGGCAGAUUAAUUUUUUUAAAAACCCUCACCUUCCAUCUUAGAAUCAAUAUUAUGUAUUGGUUCCAAGGCAGAAGAGUGGUAAGGGCUAGGCCAGUACUGGUGAACCUUAUGGCAUGAUUGCCAAAGAUGGCAUGCAGAGCAAUCUCUGUAGGCAUGAGGCUGCUUCCUCCCCUUCUCCAGAGUUCGUCACUAGAAUGGCCGAGACUCGGGCAGAGCUGCUCCUUACCCCCUCUCCACUGUUCCUGUUGACAUUUUUCACAUCCCUCGCCACUCUUCCCAGCAGCCCAAUGGGAGCACACAGGGGGUAAGUUGGAUGGCUCACCGGAGGCAGAGCUCUUGGGCCACUCCCCCACCCCUACACUCACUGAGAACAUUCCUCACUUCAACUGCCCCUCUAUCCAGUAGCCCAAUGGGAGCACUUUCUCCCUCUCCUGUGUGGGGUAAGGGGGGUGGGAUGCACUCAAUAUGUGUGUGGGAGGGGCAGGGCACUCAGUAUUAGGGGUGGGGUCAGGGCAUGGCAGUGUCUCUAAAAGAUUCAUCAUCACUGGGCUAGGCAGUCAAGGUUAAAUGACUUGCCCAGGGUCAUGCAGCUGGGAUAUUUGAACCCAGGACCUCCCAUCUCUAAGCCUGGCCCUCUAUCCACUGAGCCAACUAGCUGCCCCCUAGCAGAUUAAAUUUAAAAGUUUCAUGUAAUGUUUUUCAAGGAGCCUGGUUGUUAAACAUUUAUCAGCAUAUCACUGGAUGGCCCUUUGUAGUCAACUUAUGGGAAGCCAUGCAAAAGUCAUACAAAAUGAGCAGGUAAAGAUGGAUUGUGAUCUCCAUUGUCAGAGAGAACAUCCCAGUAUUUGAAUAUUGGGAGUCCUUUCCUUGAGAAGCCCUAAAUGACAGUGUGUGUGUGUGUGUGUGUGUGUGUGUGUACGCUGGGGGGGGCAGGGAAGGGAGGUACUGGGUGGAUGGCAGAACUGAUGCCAGAUUUUGGCAAAGGAGAAAUUGACACCCAAGAGAGCUUCCCAACCUUGACGGUGAGCUGUGAAUCAUUCCAAUUUGAAGACUGAGUAGGCUCAGCUUGGGUAGACACAGGAUGCUGUCAUUCAGGUGGCUGAUCUCUCCCGCCCCCAUCCUUCUCUUUAUCUUCACUGUGCCUCACUUUCUCCAUUUGCACAUGAGACUAAUACCGUACACCUCCUACAUGCCUCAGCUGCUGUUAAGGUUAGUGUUUAUAAAGACUUUGGCAGGGGAUUGUGUACUAUCUAACAAGAUGGAAACCUGUGAACUUUCAGGGUUAAGUAUCUUCAUUCUCCAACUCCUCUUCAGCAUCUCAAUAAACCCCAACACAAAACAGUCUUUUCCGGUCACAAACCAGAAUGUGUGCUAGGAGAAUAUCUGCCUUGGCCUCUGCAGGCCCUCAGUCCCACCAGAACUCCCGUUCUUACAAGAAGCAGCAGAGGAAGGAGCCAUUGAAGGGGUUAGAUAAGGCCUCCUAUCACUGUGACUUCCCUGGGCUAUUUAAAGAGGCUCUAGUUUUGUCAGGAGGUCAAAGAGAAUAUGCAGAUGAUCCUAAAGAACAAUUGAGGCCCAUGUUCAGUGCUUAAACUCGAGGGUCGGGCAUGCAGUGAAAGAGCUAUUAAUCGUCUAAGAGAGUGGCUUUUUUUUUUCCUGGAGGGCUCGCUGCAAAACUGUCUCAAAAUGAUUACAUCAUAAGAAAUGACCAACAUCAGGAAUUUGUAGAAAUCCCAGAAGACUUGUAUGAACUGAUACAGAGUAAACUCUGUAGAAUCAGCAGAAUGUUUACAUACACAGACUCAUGAGAAUGAUUACGGUAACUUGGUAAUUCUUGGCCCCAGAGAAGAGAGAAAGAAGUAUGUAUGUGCCAACUUUUUUGUAGACUGUGUGCGUGUGUGCGUGUGUGCGUGUGUGUGUGCGUGCGUGCGUGUGUGUUGGGGAGGGACGUUACAGUUGUAUAUUAUAAUUCUUCCAGAG